CCUACGGGUGGCAGCAGUGAGGAAUCUUUCACAAUGGGCGAAAGCCUGAACCAGCCACGUCGCGUGCAGGAUGAAGGCCCUCCGGGUCGAAACUGCUUUUAUAAGCGAGAAAUAUGCUGGGAACUUAUGAAUUAGGAUCGGCUAACUACGUGCGAGCAGCGGCUGUCAUACGUAGGAUCCGAGCAUUAUUCGGAGGGACUGGGUGUAAAGAGGUGAGUAUGGGGGAUAAUAAGUAGCUAGUGGAAUCUGGUGGCUCAACCAUUCAGACUAUUGGCGGAACUGUUAGGCUUGAGACCGUUAGAGGAAUGUGGAAUGUGUGGUGUAGGAGUGAAAUGCGUAGAUAUUA
This 346-nucleotide ribosomal RNA is filed under the name uncultured bacterium. RNAcentral describes it as "partial 16S ribosomal RNA". It matches the Rfam family "Bacterial small subunit ribosomal RNA", at positions 338 to 699 of the family's 1533-position model. The record is from RNAcentral.